AUGAGCCGUCGCGUGGCCGUCAGAUUGCCUCAUAUCCUUAGAUCAGGUCAACACAAAAAAAUCGCACGCAGCAGCUUGCCAUCAAUCCCACCGUGCCUCUUCUACAGUGAACACAACAAUGGUGCUCGCCAUCAAUCCCACCUCACCGUGGUGCCUGCGUCAGCGACCUCACAGUACUGGAGCCACCGGCAGAGCUCCAAUGCAGCCGCACCGGAGACGAUGGAAAACAAGCUCAACGCAACGCCGACGACCACCGGGGAAGCUCCACUGCAGAUCCAUCGCAGCACCGCGGCACGAAAAAAAAGCUCCGACGCAGCACCGCCGGCGUCCCGGCGAAGCUCCAUUGCCGCCCCCGCCGUGCUCCAUUGCAGCCGCGGCGGAGCUUCAUUGCAGCCACCGGCGCGCGGCGUUCCGACGAAGCUCCAUUGCAGCCAACGCGGAGCUCCAUUGCAGCCACCGGCGCGCGGCGUUCCGACGAAGCUCCAUUGCAUCCCCGGCCGCGCUCCACUGCAGCCGCGGCGGAGCUCCAUUGCAGCUGGCGUGGUCCAUUGCAGCCCCCUGUCACGCUCCAUUGCAACACGGCCGGCGGCGGCGGGAGCUGCGAUGCAGCUCCGGUGGCACUUCAAUACAACCGCGGCGAAGCUUCAUUGCAGCUCCGGCGUACUUCAAUGCAGCUCAGGCGCGCAGCUUCCGACAGCGCUCCAUUGCAGCCCCUCGCGCUUCACUGCGGCACCGUCAGUGAAGCACGUUGCGUCAGGAUGCCGGCGGAGCAGCACGAGCAUGUGGCGCCGGACGCCGAUUUGCAGCAGCACGAGUGUCGCCACAUCGCGUCGGACGCCGAUUUGCAGCAGCACGAGCGUCGCCGCCCCGGCAAGAUCGACGCCAGCCGGUGCUGCAAGGCGGGCCGCAACCUACUUGCUGCAAAGGGGCGCCCCAGCGGUGCGUCGGGGCCGCCGGCGACGCUGCUCCAACGGAAAGACAGAGAAAGGGGAUGCUUCGGGGGGGUAG
Molecule: ribosomal RNA, 1008 nt
Filed under: Triticum aestivum (bread wheat)
Lineage: Eukaryota; Viridiplantae; Streptophyta; Magnoliopsida; Poales; Poaceae
Description: partial small subunit ribosomal RNA
Source: RNAcentral